RNAcentral lists this microRNA (21 nucleotides) under Gallus gallus (chicken). Its description in RNAcentral is "microRNA Ros-gga". The record is from RNAcentral. Lineage: Eukaryota; Metazoa; Chordata; Aves; Galliformes; Phasianidae.
ACAGACCACAACUCUUCACUA